UGCUUCAACCUAGGUAGAACAAACAUCUAGUUGGUAAUGUCCAUCUCAUAUCAGCCAGAGACAAAGCAACCCCGUGUUUGUCCCAACUUGGCUUUUCAUCUGUGCCUGUGCCUGGUUCAUGCCGUGAUACAUGG
Molecule: small nucleolar RNA, 134 nt
Organism: Nycticebus coucang (slow loris)
Lineage: Eukaryota; Metazoa; Chordata; Mammalia; Primates; Lorisidae
Product: small nucleolar RNA SNORA48
Exons: 1
Source: RefSeq, a predicted model, not a curated record